Molecule: non-coding RNA, 474 nt
Organism: Hyla sarda
Lineage: Eukaryota; Metazoa; Chordata; Amphibia; Anura; Hylidae
Source: the annotation of a RefSeq genome assembly
CUCUCCAGACAUGAAUGACACCAGAUCUACAAUGAAGAACAAUCACAUUGUCUGUAUUAUACUGGUUCUCUGCUCAGGACACGUUAUUGGAGACUCCAUUGAGCGAAUAAAUUCUCAGAUAUUUUCUGAAGAAGGGCAGAAAGUCAUUCUCUCCUGCAACUAUAAAAUGUCCUAUUCUACCACUUAUUAUCUUUUCUGGUAUCGUCACUCUCCGGGAUCGGCACCACAAUUCAUAUUACGUAAUGCUAACCAAGGAAAUCAUGGUUAUACUGAACCAUUUGCAGAGCAAAGAUUUACAUCUAAAGUAAACGGAUACUCUACAGAACUGGUUAUCAAUGAUGUGAAGAUGGAGGAUUCAGCCACCUAUCUCUGCUCUCUGCAGGCAGCACAGUGUGACACAUCUAACCUCUCAUCUUACACAAACCUCAUACUCAACUGUUUUUUUUAGAGCACAGAAAUGUUUUUUUUUAUAUA